GACGUAGGGCGCGAGCGUUGUCCGGAUUUAUUGGGCGUAAAGAGCUCGUAGGCGGCUUGUCGCGUCGGCCGUGAAAACUUGGGGCUCAACCCCAAGCCUGCGGUCGAUACGGGCAGGCUCGAGUUCGGUAGGGGAGACUGGAAUUCCUGGUGUAGCGGUGAAAUGCGCAGAUAUCAGGAGGAACACCGGUGGCGAAGGCGGGUCUCUGGGCCGAUACUGACGCUGAGGAGCGAAAGCGUGGGGAGCGAACAGG
RNAcentral lists this ribosomal RNA (253 nucleotides) under uncultured bacterium. RNAcentral describes it as "partial 16S ribosomal RNA". It matches the Rfam family "Bacterial small subunit ribosomal RNA", at positions 524 to 776 of the family's 1533-position model. The record is from RNAcentral.